Molecule: ribosomal RNA, 449 nt
Filed under: uncultured bacterium
Lineage: Bacteria
Description: partial 16S ribosomal RNA
Rfam family: Bacterial small subunit ribosomal RNA
Source: RNAcentral
GUCGAGAAUCUUUCACAAUGGGGGCAACCCUGAUGGAGCGACGCCGCGUGGAGGAUAAGGUCUUCGGAUUGUAAACUCCUGUCAUGCGUGAACAAGGUUGCUUGGUUAAUACCUGGGCAAAUUGAUGGUAACGCAAGAGGAAGAGACGGCUAACUCUGUGCCAGCAGCCGCGGUAAUACAGAGGUCUCAAGCGUUGUUCGGAAUCACUGGGCGUAAAGGGUGCGUAGGUGGCGUGGUAAGGCAGAUGUGAAAGCCCGGGGCGCAACCUCGUAACUGCAUCCGAUACUGCCAUGCUAGAGUACUGGAGAGGUGACUAGAAUUCUCGGUGGAGCAGUGAAAUGCGUAGAUAUCGAGAGGAAUACCAAAGGCGUAGGCAGGUCACUGGACAGUUACUGACACUGAGGCACGAAGGCCAGGGGAGCGAACGGGAUUAGAAACCCGAGUAGUCC